Molecule: long non-coding RNA, 373 nt
Filed under: Olea europaea (common olive)
Lineage: Eukaryota; Viridiplantae; Streptophyta; Magnoliopsida; Lamiales; Oleaceae
Description: long non-coding RNA (OEUR_LNC010422)
Source: RNAcentral
AAGGAUUAUGUGACCAGGAUGAAGGAAGGGCAGAAUGACAUCUACUACAUCACAGGUGAGAGCAAAAAGGCUGUCGAGAAUUCUCCCUUCCUUGAGAAGCUGAAGAAGAAGGGCUAUGAAAUCCUCUACAUGGUUGAUGCUAUUGAUGAGUAUGCCGUUGGUCAGUUGAAGGAAUUUGAGGGCAAGAAGCUUGUCUCUGCAACUAAGGAAGGGCUAAAGCUUGAUGAGAGUGAGGAUGAAAAGAAAAGGAAGGAAGAAUUGAAACAGAAGUUUGAGGGUCUUUGCAAGGUGAUUAAGGAUGUUCUUGGGGACAAGGUUGAGAAGGUUAUUGUCUCUGACCGUGUUGUUGACUCACCUUGCUGUUUGGUGACCG